UUCAGUUAUGUACUUAUCUCAUCUGCUCAUCUUCUCGGUUUAGGGAACCAUCAUCUUCUCAGCUGGAGCCGCUACUCCAACUAACGCUCGCACCAGGACCACCACCUCGUUGUUGCCGUGGUAGCCACCGUGAGUUGGGUGAGUCGCCGUCGCAAGCUGGAGUUAGUAGCCACUCAUCUUCUCCCAUCGCAGAACGCAGGACCAGCACGUCAAGCACGACAUCAGCGUCGCCGUCGUAGCGUUUGUAAGCUGAGACCAUCUGAAGAUAGGUUCUCUAGCCGCCGCUGGACAACCACCUCAUCAUCGUUAGCUUGCCACCGUGACCUUGGACCAAAAGCCUAAAAUGGAUUUGACGCAAAUGGACACCAUCAAUUCCUAAUUUGAUGAGCACCAACAAGACAAACAUGUUGCUGAAUUGUUUUAAUGACAUUGUGUCAUUGUGCACAAGAUUUGGAUUUUUAUGAGUUGCAUUAUGUCUGUAUAAAGAGACAGGGUUCACUAACUUUGGAGAUUAGAAUCACUUCAGAAGAAGUUCCACCAUUCAGAUCACUAUGUUAGUUCUAUUUACUCAAAGAGCCUAAUUGAUCCUGGCUUGGCUACUUAGUUACUUAUUUGACUUGGUUUGGUAGAAUGGCAAAUGAGAAUGAAGUGCUUAUUCUCUUUGGUGACAUGCCACAUACAAAUGUGUAUUUGUUGAAUCUUUUGUUGUAUUUACAAGAAUGUAUUAAUCUUAUUUGUUAUUAUGUAGAAGUUUAAAAUUGAAUUGAUAUUAUACGUUUUUUUGUUUAUCUAUAUAAAUAAUGGAUUUUUUACUUA
Long non-coding RNA from Arachis duranensis, 816 nucleotides. RefSeq lists it as uncharacterized. The record is from RefSeq and is a predicted model, not a curated record. The transcript is spliced from 3 exons. Lineage: Eukaryota; Viridiplantae; Streptophyta; Magnoliopsida; Fabales; Fabaceae.